UACGUAGGGGGCGAGCGUUGUCCGGAAUCAUUGGGCGUAAAGAGCUCGUAGGCGGUUCAGCAAGUCGGCUGUGAAAGUCCGAGGCUCAACCUCGGAACUGCAGUCGAAAGUGCUGUGACUAGAGUCCGGUAGUGGAGAACGGAAUUCCCGGUGUAGCGGUGAAAUGCGCAGAUAUCGGGAGGAUCACCAGUAGCGAAGGCGGUUCUCUGGGCCGGUACUGACGCUGAGGAGCGAAAGCGUGGGGAGCAAACAGG
Molecule: unclassified non-coding RNA, 254 nt
Filed under: uncultured Acidimicrobiia bacterium
Lineage: Bacteria; Bacillati; Actinomycetota; Acidimicrobiia
Description: contains 16S-23S intergenic spacer region
Rfam family: Bacterial small subunit ribosomal RNA
Source: RNAcentral